Molecule: non-coding RNA, 111 nt
Organism: Acanthosepion pharaonis
Lineage: Eukaryota; Metazoa; Mollusca; Cephalopoda; Sepiida; Sepiidae
Source: the annotation of a GenBank genome assembly
CAGCCAUAUGACAAUGAAACACUGGUUUCUGUAUGAUCACCAAAGUUAAGCAAUUUCAAGCCUGGUCAUUACCUAGAUGGAUGACUGCUUGGGAAUAGCAGGUGCUGUAAU